This 216-nucleotide ribosomal RNA is filed under the name Glomeromycotina sp. RNAcentral describes it as "partial small subunit ribosomal RNA". The stretch from base 40 to 216 matches the Rfam family "Eukaryotic small subunit ribosomal RNA", at positions 686 to 864 of the family's 1831-position model. The record is from RNAcentral. Lineage: Eukaryota; Fungi; Glomeromycota.
GGGUCAGUAGGUUGGUCGUGCCACCGGUACGUACUGGUCUCACUGAUUCCUCCUUCCUGAAGAACCGUAAUGCCAUUAAUUUGGUGUUGCGGGGAAACAGGACUGUUACUUUGAAAAAAUUAGAGUGUUUAAAGCAAGCGAACGCUUGAAUACAUUAGCAUGGAAUAAUGAAAUAGGACGAUCGAUCCUAUUUUGUUGGUUCCUAGGAUUGACGUA